Molecule: ribosomal RNA, 625 nt
Filed under: uncultured archaeon
Lineage: Archaea
Description: bacterial SSU rRNA
Rfam family: Archaeal small subunit ribosomal RNA
Source: RNAcentral
UAAUACCCUAUAGGUUACAGAUGCUGGAACGCUCUGUAAUCAAAAGUUCCGGCGCCCUAGGAUGGAUCUGCGGCCGAUUAGGUUGUUGUUUGGGGUAAUGGCCCAACAAGCCAGUAAUCGGUACGGGUUGUGGGAGCAAGAGCCCGGAGUUGGAUUCUGAGACACGAAUCCAGGCCCUACGGGGCGCAGCAGGCGCGAAAACUUUACAAUGCGGGCAACCGUGAUAAGGGAACCUCGAGUGCCUGUAAAUGCAGGCUGUUCAGAUACCUAAAACACAUCUGGAGAAAGGGCCGGGCAAGACCGGUGCCAGCCGCCGCGGUAAUACCGGCGGCUCGAGUGGUGGCCACUUUUAUUGGGCUUAAAGCGUUCGUAGCUGGGUUGUUAAGUCUCUUGGGAAAUCUGGCGGCUUAACCGUCAGGCGUCUAAGGGAUACUGGCAAUCUUGGAACCGGGAGAGGUGAGGGGUACUUCGGGGGUAGGAGUGAAAUCCUGUAAUCCUCGAGGGACCACCUGUGGCGAAGGCGCCUCACCAGAACGGCUUCGACAGUGAGGGACGAAAGCUGGGGGAGCAAACCGGAUUAGAUACCCGGGUAGUCCCAGCCGUAAACUAUGCGCGUUAGGUGUAU